UUUUAAUCAGCCGUGAGGAGUCACUUGAAGGGAGGGCAGGGACAAAUCGGAAAGAGCUGGUGAACUGUGCUGUUGCCUUUGCACCAGAAGGGUAUGGGCCAGAAGCCAAAUCAAUUAUUGCUGAUCUUCUGGAUCUGGGGAAAGGAUUGAAUGCUCUGUGUGGGGGGCAGAGAGCCCUUGACGCAGACAAAGUCUCUGCGUAAACUGGGACCUGCGGGCUUUCAUGGCCUUCCUUGCCACCCAGAGGACAGCCACUCUUCCUCUCUUCCCACCCUCAGUGACGCCCUUGGAUCGAGUCAGAUGGCCCCGGGAGGAGGCAGCAGGUCAGCAGUCGGCGGCCGCUCACCUGCUUUUACCGUCUGUCUGCUGAAGUCCUGCGCAGGUGACCCACGCCACAGUGGGUGUGAAUGCACAAACCGUGAAAAAAGAUCUUGAGAUUUUAAGAAACAGAAGGGACCUUUUGUUUUGACAUCAGGGUAAGGCUAUAAAAGCAAGAAUUUUUCCAAAGGCGAAAAAGGUGUGAAAUUCAUGUUAAUGGUGGAGACACACAAGAUCUGUAAAAGGACUAAAAAGAUACCUUGCAUCUAUUUUGGCAAUUCAAGGUGUGUUAUCAUCUUAGACACCAG
Molecule: long non-coding RNA, 626 nt
Filed under: Chinchilla lanigera (long-tailed chinchilla)
Lineage: Eukaryota; Metazoa; Chordata; Mammalia; Rodentia; Chinchillidae
Description: lncRNA (ENSCLAG00000022421.1)
Source: RNAcentral